This is a long non-coding RNA of Mauremys reevesii (Reeves's turtle), 669 nucleotides long. RefSeq lists it as uncharacterized. The transcript has 3 exons. Lineage: Eukaryota; Metazoa; Chordata; Testudines; Geoemydidae. The record is from RefSeq and is a predicted model, not a curated record.
GGCCGGAGGGCUGGGUAGCUGAAGACUCACCACUGAGCAGACAGAAAGUGCAGGCACACUCACUCAGCCAAGGGGGUGCACACAAGAGAUCUAAAGUGCUCAGCCAUAUAAAUGAAGAACUCACUCUUCUGCACUGAAAUUGUAGACUCCUUGCUAUUUGAUGGUGGGGUAUUUUUUUCCUGUACUGCCUUCUGAACACACAGACCUAUGAAAACUGUCUAAUGCAUCUGCACGGUAACCACUCUUCAUCAAAAGUGUCAAAAAGAUUUUAAGCUGGCAACGUUAGUGUUCAUAUGUGCAUCAACUGAGUAAUGGCUUUCUAAAGGAUACAUUGAUUAAAUACUCCAUUCCAGACCUCCUAACUACUUUUGAUCUACUGAAAUAAAAAUGAAGAUGAUAAAUAUACAUUCAAAACUCUUGAAUUCAUACCUUAUGAACAAUAAGGAAAUUUGAGAGAGACAUCCGGAUACAUUUUCAAUAUGAUCUCCAGUCAAGUUUAUGAUUUAGCUAAAGGAUCCAUUUCCAUUUGUUAUGUCAUAUCCCUUGGUAAAUGAUUUUUGAACAAUCCCUUCCACACUGUUGAACAGUUGGAUCUCAGUACCCAUUCAUUAAAAAUACAAUUACUGUGUAAAUAUGGUUCUUUGAGAUGUGCCCAGAUAGAUCCAUACU